This 74-nucleotide transfer RNA is filed under the name Rhodospirillum centenum SW. It matches the Rfam family "tRNA". From Rfam's summary of the family: Transfer RNA (tRNA) molecules are approximately 80 nucleotides in length. Their secondary structure includes four short double-helical elements and three loops (D, anti-codon, and T loops). The record is from Rfam by way of RNAcentral. Lineage: Bacteria; Pseudomonadati; Pseudomonadota; Alphaproteobacteria; Rhodospirillales; Rhodospirillaceae.
GUCCCCGUAGCUCAGCCGGAUAGAGCAAGCGUUUCCUAAACGCUAGGUCGGCGGUUCGAAUCCGUCCGGGGACG